UGCUACAUGUUAAUGAACCCCAGGUAGAGUAGCUGCUGCAUGUUAAUGGACCCCAGGAAGAGUAGCUGCUACAUGUUAAUGGACCCCAGGCAGAGUAGCUGCUACAUGUUAAUGGACCCCAGGUAGAGUAGCUGCUACAUGUUCAGUAGUUAAUGGACCCCAGGUAGAGUAGCUGCUACAUGUUCAGUAGUUAAUGGACCCCAGGUAGAGUAGCUGCUACAUGUUCAGUAGUUAAUGGACCCCAGGUAGAGUAGCUGCUACAUGUUAAUGGACCCCAGGUAGAGUAGCUGCUACAUGUUAAUGGACCCCAGGUAGAGUAGCUGCUACAUGUUAAUGGACCCCAGGUAGAGUAGCUGCUACAUGUUAAUGGACCCCAGGUAGAGUAGCUGCUACAUGUUCAGUAGUUAAUGGACCCCAGGUAGAGUAGCUGCUACAUGUUAAUGAACCCCAGGUAGAGUAGCUGCUACAUGUUAAUGGACCCCAGGUAGAGUAGCUGCUACAUGUUAAUGGACCCCAGGUAGAGUAGCUGCUACAUGUUAAUGGACCCCAGGAAGAGUAGCUGCUACAUGUUAAUGGACCC
This is a long non-coding RNA of Oncorhynchus keta (chum salmon), 580 nucleotides long. RefSeq lists it as uncharacterized. The record is from RefSeq and is a predicted model, not a curated record. The transcript is spliced from 3 exons. NCBI's taxonomy places the organism in Eukaryota, Metazoa, Chordata, Actinopteri, Salmoniformes, Salmonidae.